RNAcentral lists this ribosomal RNA (497 nucleotides) under uncultured bacterium. Its description in RNAcentral is "partial 16S ribosomal RNA". It matches the Rfam family "Bacterial small subunit ribosomal RNA", at positions 28 to 507 of the family's 1533-position model. The record is from RNAcentral.
GAUGAACGCUGGCGGCGUGCCUAAUACAUGCAAGUCGAGCGAACGGACGAGAAGCUUGCUUCUCUGAUGUUAGCGGCGGACGGGUGAGUAACACGUGGAUAACCUACCUAUAAGACUGGGAUAACUUCGGGAAACCGUAGCUAAUACCGGAUAAUAUUUUGAACCGCAUGGUUCAAAAGUGAAAGACGGUCUUGCUGUCACUUAUAGAUGGAUCCGCGCUGCAUUAGCUAGUUGGUAAGGUAACGGCUUACCAAGGCAACGAUGCAUAGCCGACCUGAGAGGGUGAUCGGCCACACUGGAACUGAGACACGGUCCAGACUCCUACGGGAGGCAGCAGUAGGGAAUCUUCCGCAAAGGGCGAAAGCCUGACGGAGCAACGCCGCGUGAGUGAUGAAGGUCUUCGGAUCGUAAAACUCUGUUAUUAGGGAAGAACAUAUGUGUAAGUAACUGUGCACAUCUUGCCGGUACCUAAUCAGAAAGCCACGGCUAACUACGUG